AUAUAUAUAAAAAUAUUUCCAUGAUGUAAUUAUCAGGAUAGUUUACCUGUGAUUAGUGGUUCAUUGGUACUGAACACACCAUGUUAGCUUGUUAGAAAUCAUAACACUGCUUUAUAUCUUUAUAUCUGCCUCUUUCUGGCACAACAGGCCGAGCAUGAUUCUAGCUUUUGUUAUUUUAAGGUUUAGUUUGACGGCUUAGUUAAGAAGUAUUACUGGGGUGUGUGUGUGUAUUUGUGUAUCACAGUCAAAGUGAAAAGUGUGAAAGAAGGUUAUUUGGUUUAAUGCAGCAUAGUGCAACAACAAGUUAAGACACUUAAUAUUCCUGUUUUUUAUUUUAAAAAGUGGGACACUGUUGUAUGUAAUGUUAUAUUGGUUUCUGGGUGUGUUAAUUAUCUCCAAGGGUUAACCCUGUGGGCUCUGGGCUUCACUGGGUGUGUUUUUCACAAAAUCUAAAUCAUGGUGAAAGUUCCUUGAGUCCUGUCGCACCGCGUCACCGACCGGCUGCCUUUCUCUGUGUGUGAAUCACACACCAGUUCACAGGAGGAGGAAGAGGAAACCGACUGGUUCAUCUAGUACUUUAAACGUAUUUCUGCCCCCGAUUAUCGCAGAGAAAUAAAUAUUUUAAAAAGGUGAUUAUGUUUAUUUAGUAGUUACAUUAGUAGAGCAGUCAGUAAGUUAUAUCUGUGAGGUACUCUAUGGAUCCAAGACUCAUAACAUAGAGAUAAGUUAGUUAUAAGAACACAAUUAAAUGAAGUAAAGAACUCGGGGCCCUAUCUACCAUUAGGGUAGAAGACAGGCUUCAUAAUGAUGUCAUCAUAUUGUCCCAGUACCCACAAUGCAGCCCAUAGUCACUGCGUCUUUAACCCUCUAGUUUAAACUACUAGAUGAAUCAGUCGGGUUUCCUCUUCCUCCUCCGUGAGCUCGUGCGUGGGUCACACAGAGAGAGAGGGGACGGGUCGGUUGACGGAGCUUCAGAGCCCGAAGGCUUUCCUUUCCAACGCUGGAUAGAAAUUUCACUCCACUCUGUUUUUUUAGAUGGAGGUUUUGACCUCUCCUCCACCAGGACACACCGGACCAGAGUGAUGAGGACGGGGCUCGGAUGUGGAGACUAAAAGUCCCACAUCGUCUUCACUGGCGUCCCACGGACGGGAAGCGAGGCGGGGAGGGGGCUGAUGACCAGAGUCCAGGAAGAAGCCCGGCUCAGAAGGAAGAGGAGAGGAAGCAUGAAGGCGGUGGGGAAAAAACUACCUGAUGCUGUAAACCUUCAUCUCUCCUGGACCAGCAGGAUGUGGAGCUGUGGAUCACAGCCCAGGAGAACGCUGCUGAGAAGAGAACACUAAAGACAUGAGAAAGAAAUGGCCACCAGAGGACACAUGAAGAGGACGUGGACGAGGAAAAGACCGCUGUCACAAAACAGCUGUCAGGUCGUAUGGAACCAGAGUCAACAGCUUUGUACACAACGACUUUGUACACAACAACUUUGUGACGCGAGAUGGAAGGGAAGCGUCCCACAAAUUAUAUUAGAGAGAAGAGACAGUUGUGUUCAGUUUAUGCAACCUAGUGUUCUGUGAAGAGAGAGAGAGAGGAAGAAGAGAGAGACUGAGGGUGAGAACACUGUUAGUGUUCUAAAGCCGUGUGAAUGCAUUAGAAAACAAUUCAUGCAACCUAUUGUUCUAUAAUAGUAAUUGUUUAAAUAAAUCAAUUCUGUACUCAGGAGACACUGUUCAUUGCAUCUUUCUUGGAAAGUGUACGAUAAUACGUUUGUCUAUCAAUAAUGAUAUCCAUAAACAAUCACCUGUCCCUUUAUGCAGCGCUCUAAUGAUGUCAUCACAUGGUCACUCUUUUUAAACCAGACACACCUAUUUAUUAUUUCAUAAUCACAUACAAAAUAAUAACUGCAGCAUAAGAGAGAAGGAUGGUCAACUAUUCCAUUAUAAAAAAUGAACCCAACAGCGCCCUCUAGGAAACGGUCCUCACUCUGAUGGUCAACUGGGUCAGGAUUGAUUUAAUUUGAAUUCUUAAUAUAAAAAUAAUCUGAGGUGGGAACUUUAGUGGGGCAGCUUCCUGGUGCUCAAAUGCAACAUUCAUUUAUUUUUAAAUAUAGCAGAAAGGGUGGUCCUCACUUCCAUAGUUAUUCCACCCGGUCCUCAGUCUGGUGUGUGUGUGUGUGUGUGUGUGUGUGUGUG
Pseudoliparis swirei is the source of this 2186-nucleotide long non-coding RNA. RefSeq lists it as uncharacterized. NCBI's taxonomy places the organism in Eukaryota, Metazoa, Chordata, Actinopteri, Perciformes, Liparidae. The record is from RefSeq and is a predicted model, not a curated record. The transcript has 5 exons.